AGUCCCAGCUAACGUUGGUGCCCUUGAAGCUGAAUAAUCAUAAUAAAAAGCACCACUCUUCCGCUUUUGCUUCAGGUUUCUGUCUGGAAUGCAGAUUGCAGCCAAGGAGCACCAACCAACGAGGCUGGUUUCGUGUUGCUGCGUCUUAAACUCUGCACAGCUAUUUCUGCGGACCAUAAACAGGAGAGGCGAAAAGAAAAGCGCACGGGAAGAAGUCCCAGAGGGGGGAGCUGGGUUACUCCGCGGCAGCGAAAACAGAUGAAAUCUUCUGGAGGACAGAUGUGUCACGUUUUACUGCCAGAGGAAGGCAAAGCACAUCAUCAUUUACACACGCAAAAAGGCUUCGUCAGAAGUAGCCCAAUGAAUUAUGCAUCUGGUUUAAAGUAACCUAACGCUUGGUUUUCCAGAAUCACUGCGACAUUUCCGCAAUGAGAGGAAUUAAGGCAUGCUGUUGUGUGCAACAGUAUUUAUUAGCAAAAAGGUCAUAGCAUUGAAGAGUGCAAUCCAACUGUCGCUGG
Lacerta agilis (Sand lizard) is the source of this 518-nucleotide long non-coding RNA. RefSeq lists it as uncharacterized. The record is from RefSeq and is a predicted model, not a curated record. The transcript is spliced from 3 exons. NCBI's taxonomy places the organism in Eukaryota, Metazoa, Chordata, Lepidosauria, Squamata, Lacertidae.